AUUAUCAAAAGUAUUUGAUUAUUAAUUUGAAAGAUAAUCAAAAUAUUAUACAAAAUGUUUAAUAAAGUUUAUAUUUUGCUGAUUCUCGUUCUCGUCAGUGUCUUCACUACGAUAAGCGCACAGUAUGGAGGAGGUUAUGGAGGAAGAUAUGGUGGGGGCGGUAGAUAUGGAGGCGGAAGAUAUGGAGGCGGUGGACGUUACGGUGGAGGUAGACGUUAUGGCGGACGUGGAGGUUAUUAUGGAUAAAAAAAUGAACAACAAUUCAGAUCAUAAUUUAAACUUAAUUUAAGUUUAGAUAUUGUAAAUUACAAUCAACAAGAUAUAUAUCUAUAAUUAGUAUUUAAAUAUUUGUUCAAAUCCUUAAAUAAAAUGUAAUCGAUAUAACUAAAUGUAUGUAAAGAUAUUAAGUUAUUAAUAACAAUAUUUAUUUAAUUAAUAAAGUUUAAUAUUGCAAGCA
Oppia nitens is the source of this 457-nucleotide long non-coding RNA. RefSeq lists it as uncharacterized. Lineage: Eukaryota; Metazoa; Arthropoda; Arachnida; Sarcoptiformes; Oppiidae. The transcript is spliced from 2 exons. The record is from RefSeq and is a predicted model, not a curated record.